This 464-nucleotide ribosomal RNA is filed under the name uncultured bacterium. RNAcentral's name for it is "partial 16S ribosomal RNA". It matches the Rfam family "Bacterial small subunit ribosomal RNA", at positions 29 to 507 of the family's 1533-position model. The record is from RNAcentral.
ACGAACGCUGGCGGCGUGCUUAACACAUGCAAGUCGAACGGUAAGGCCCCUUCGGGGGUACACGAGUGGCGAACGGGUGAGUAACACGUGAGCAACCUGCCCUUGACUCUGGAAUAACAGUUGGAAACAGCUGCUAAUACUGGAUAUUCAUCGUCUCCUUCCUGGGGGGUGGUGGAAAGCUCCGGCGGUCAGGGAUGGGCUCGCGGCCUAUCAGCUUGUUGGUGAGGUAAUGGCUCACCAAGGCUUCGACGGGUAGCCGGCCUGAGAGGGCGACCGGCCACACUGGGACUGAGAUACGGCCCAGACUCCUACGGGAGGCAGCAGUGGGGAAUAUUGCACAAUGGGCGCAAGCCUGAUGCAGCAACGCCGCGUGCGGGAUGACGGCCUACGGGUUGUAAACCGCUUUCAGUAGGGACGAAGGGUGACUGACGGUACCUACAGAAGAAGGACCGGCUAACUACGUG